This is a long non-coding RNA of Anolis sagrei ordinatus, 2283 nucleotides long. RefSeq lists it as uncharacterized. The record is from RefSeq and is a predicted model, not a curated record. Lineage: Eukaryota; Metazoa; Chordata; Lepidosauria; Squamata; Anolidae.
GUUCACAUAUAUAUUGUUGUUAUUUUCAAAUUUUAAAAAGUUUAAAGGGGAACAGAAAAGAAACAUUAAGCUAAAUGUGUCAAUGAGCUUAAGCAAUGCUCAGUUUAGAAACCUUUCAUGGGCUUCAAGGAUUUUUAAUUGAACCUUUCCCUUUGGAGUAAUCUAAUCUAGGUAAAGUUGAUUAAAAAAUAAAAAUAGGGCUAUGUAAUAAAAAUAAAUCCUUAAAACCUGAGGUUCUCGGGAACUCUCUCCCAUACAUCUGCUCCUCAGCUCAACCAGCUGAGGACUCCUCAUGUAUAAAUAUGUGAGGGGGAGUCAUAGGAAAGAGGGAGCAAGCUUGUUUUCUGCUUCCCUGGAGGCUAGGACGCAGAGCAAUGGCUUCAAACUACAGGAAAGGAGGUUCCACCUGACAUGAAGAAGAACUUCCUGAUUGUGAGAGCUGUUCAAUAGUGGAACUCUCUUCCUACGAGUGUGGUGGAGGCUCCUUUGGAGGCUUUUAAACAGAGGCUGAAUGGCCAUUUGUCGGGAGUGCUUUGAUGGGCGAGUGGGCUUAAUAACAAAAGACACUCCCCAUAAAUGUACAGCAGAGCAACUCAGCAGCAUGAGUGUGAUCCAACGCCAAUAGCCCAAAGUGAUAAAAGAACAAAAAGACACAGACCAAUGUUAUAUCUUCCAUAGGAGGCUUUUCUUUGUAGUAGAAUAAUAUAGUUGCACAAUUUACAAUAACCAGGUUUCCACAACCCGAAUAAACAAAUACAUAGUAGAUUUAUACACACAGCAGCCUCUAAACACUGGAGCUCCCCAUAUCAGGCUUUAUUCUCAUACAGAAGUUUUCCUCACACUGACAAGCCUCCUCUCACAGAUGCCUCAUCACACAGACUGAGAAGUUCCCUCCCUCAGGCAAAACUAACAAUAACAGGCUUUGGCCUACUCACUCUCCUCAGGGCAACCCUGGCUUUGGCCCACUAACUCUUUCAGUGUUUGAUUCACACUUUUGUAAUCAAAAAUAUUCAGUUAAUAUUUAGUACUUCUGACAUGCUUUGAAUGCAAUUUUCCUGCUUCUUGGCAGGGGAUUGGACUGGAUGGCCCACAGGGUCUCUUCCAACUAUGAUUCUAUGAUUCCAUGUCUCGGGCACAAAGAUUCUAGAGUCCAUGAAGAUCUUGAAAAGUUUAUUAUGUCUCUAAGACAGAACCACCUGGAGGAGGAGGAGGAUGAUGACGAUUUUCAUGAAUCAAGAGGCACUGGUGCCUCUCCCCUCCUCCCCAAAAAAGUAUUCCCAGUUGCUUCUAAAGUAAACUGAAGAGCUCUACACAUUUUAACGCAGGUAAAAAGAAAAUGUGUUACUAGCUUGUGACACAAUCCCAUGACAUUUCCAAAAUGUAUGACUGUUGCUGUGAUAAAGAAGGGCCUUAGUUUCACUGACUGAAAGGUCCCUGCUUUUAAGAUGCUGCAGCAUUCUACAUGAAAAUCAAAUGUAAUAAGUGUGCUCUGGGAAUGUAUAACUUUGGAAAAUACACUUAAAUACAUUAUAGGCGUAACUGAAAGAGUAUUGUCGUAUUUUAUUGACAUUGUGUUUUGUUCCAUUUUUGAAAAAGACUUCCAAGAGAAGAACUGCAUUUCUCAGUAAGGGUAGAGAGGUGAGGAACAAACAUGAUCAGUCAGCAUUUACUGAUUGGGAAGGGGUUGUGUUCAUAUUCCAGCCAAACGCAAGGUUGCACCCUCACUUCUUAAAACCCUCCUACCAGACAUACUUGUUCAUGUCCAGCGUAAUUCCCAUCUGUGCUGGAAUUGCACUAGAUCCAGAUCCCUUUGUUUGGCUUUCUCGCCCAUAGUUUUAGAGCAGUUACUGUUAUGUUAGUUUUUAUGAGGGUGGAGCUUAGGAAAACCCUUUCUGGUUUGUGUCAGCCAUUUUGUUAGUCCUUUUGUCUGAGAAAAAGGGAGCCAUUUUGUGUCAGUUAGUUGGCCACAUCCCCUUUUGCCUGAGGAAAAAAGAGCCGUUUGUGACAGUUGGUUGGCCACGCCCCUUUUCUGAGGUAAAGGAGACAUUUUAUAGUAUAGACCACCAGAGAAUUCUUGAGAUAGGGUGUGUCUUCAGUCAGUCCCAGAGAUUCAGGCUUGCACAGUCAUUUGAAAUCAAUUUAACAUAACCAGUUGUGCUUACCAUCAAUAACUAUAAACAGUAGUUUUAACAUAAUCAGUUGUGCUUACCAUUAAUAACUACAAGCAGUAUUUUGAACAUAACCAGUUAUCAUCAACUAGCUACUACAUAACCCGUACUUCCA